This 87-nucleotide transfer RNA is filed under the name Methylomonas methanica. RNAcentral describes it as "tRNA-Leu". It matches the Rfam family "tRNA". From Rfam's summary of the family: Transfer RNA (tRNA) molecules are approximately 80 nucleotides in length. Their secondary structure includes four short double-helical elements and three loops (D, anti-codon, and T loops). Lineage: Bacteria; Pseudomonadati; Pseudomonadota; Gammaproteobacteria; Methylococcales; Methylococcaceae. RNAcentral also lists the same sequence under 36 other names. The record is from RNAcentral.
GCCUCGGUGGCGAAAUAGGUAGACGCACGAGACUUAAAAUCUCGCGACCGAAAGGUCGUACCGGUUCGAUUCCGGUCUGAGGCACCA